This 107-nucleotide small nuclear RNA is filed under the name Capra hircus (goat). Its description in RNAcentral is "U4 spliceosomal RNA (ENSCHIG00010003241.1, ENSCHIG00020004568.1, ENSCHIG00040029724.1)". It matches the Rfam family "U4 spliceosomal RNA". Rfam says of the family: U4 small nuclear RNA (U4 snRNA) is a component of the major U2-dependent spliceosome. The structure of U4 snRNA from yeast and human has been reported. U4 snRNA presents a k-turn RNA motif in the 5p-SL related to recognition of Snu13 protein. Lineage: Eukaryota; Metazoa; Chordata; Mammalia; Artiodactyla; Bovidae. The record is from Rfam by way of RNAcentral.
AGCUUUACGCAGUGGCAGUAUCGUAGCCAAUGAGGUUUAUCCGAGGCACGAUUAUCGCUGAUUGAAAACUCUAAAAUUCUUGGAUUUGCUGGACUUUGGCGACCUGA